GAUGAAGAACGCAGCGAAAUGCGAUAAGUAAUGUGAAUUGCAGAAUUCAGUGAAUCAUCGAAUCUUUGAACGCAUCUUGCGCUCCUUGGUAUUCUGAGGAGCAUGCCUGUUUGUGUGUCAUUAAAUUCUCAACUACACUGACUUUGAAUUGGUGUGGCUUGGAUUUGGGGGGAAAAUUGUUGUGGGCUUUUUGUAUAGUCUGCUCCCCUGAAAUUGAUUAGCGGUACCUUUGUGGAACUGUCUACAGGUGUGAUAAUUAUCUACAUCUUAGACAUCUGCUGGAAUGCUGCUUUCUAAACCUUACUUGUAUUGACAAUCUUGACCUCAAAUCAGGUAGGACUACCCGCUGAACUUAAGCAUAUCAAUAAGCGGAGGA
RNAcentral lists this unclassified non-coding RNA (376 nucleotides) under soil metagenome. RNAcentral's name for it is "partial contains 5.8S ribosomal RNA, internal transcribed spacer 2, and large subunit ribosomal RNA". The stretch from base 1 to 120 matches the Rfam family "5.8S ribosomal RNA", at positions 35 to 154 of the family's 154-position model. The record is from RNAcentral.